CGAAGNCAGCUUGCUAGACUGUAACUGACGCUGAGGCACGAAAGCGUGGGGNUCAAACAGGAUUAGAUACCCUGGUANNCCACGCCGUAAACGAUGAAUGCUAGCUGUUAGCGAUAUACUGUUAGCGGCACAGAGAAAUCGUUAAGCAUUCCACCUGGGGAGUACGCCGGCAACGGUGAAACUCAAAGGAAUUGACGGGGGCCCGCACAAGCGGAGGAACAUGUGGUUUAAUUCGAUGAUACGCGAGGAACCUUACCUGGGCUUAAAUUGCAGUGGAAUAACGUGGAAACAUGUUAGCCUUCGGGCCGCUGUGAAGGUGCUGCAUGGUUGUCGUCAGCUCGUGCCGUGAGGUGUCGGCUUAAGUGCCAUAACGAGCGCAACCCUCAUCGAUAGUUACUAACAGGUUAAGCUGAGGACUCUAUCGAGACUGCCGACGUAAGUCGUGAGGAAGGUGGGGAUGACGUCAAAUCAGCACGGCCCUUACGUCCAGGGCUACACACGUGUUACAAUGGGGGGUACAAAGGGCAGCUACCUGGCGACAGGAUGCUAAUCUCAAAAACCUCUCUCAGUUCGGAUUGGAGUCUGCAACCCGACUCCAUGAAGCUGGAUUCGCUAGUAAUCGCGCAUCAGCCACGGCGCGGUGAAUACGUUCCCGGGCCUUGUACACACCGCCCGUCAAGCCAUGGGAGCCGGGGGGACCUGAAGUAUGCAACCGUAAGGAGCGUCCUAGGGUAAAACUGGUGACUGGGGCU
RNAcentral lists this ribosomal RNA (752 nucleotides) under uncultured prokaryote. Its description in RNAcentral is "bacterial SSU rRNA". It matches the Rfam family "Bacterial small subunit ribosomal RNA", at positions 716 to 1482 of the family's 1533-position model. The record is from RNAcentral.